Molecule: non-coding RNA, 69 nt
Organism: Rattus norvegicus (Norway rat)
Lineage: Eukaryota; Metazoa; Chordata; Mammalia; Rodentia; Muridae
Source: Rfam
GGGGAUUUAGCUCAGUGGUAGAGCACUUGCCUAGCAACCGCAAGGCUCUGGGUUCGGUCCCCAGCUCCA